RNAcentral lists this small RNA (125 nucleotides) under Marmota monax (woodchuck). Lineage: Eukaryota; Metazoa; Chordata; Mammalia; Rodentia; Sciuridae. The record is from RNAcentral.
GCUGGGUUCAGUGGCACACACCUGUAAUCCCAGCAUCUUUGGAGGCUGAGGCAGGAAGAUGGCGAGUUCAAAGCCAACAUCAGCAAAAGUGAGGUGUUAAGCAACUCAGUGAGUUCCUGUCUCUA